GACGGGUGCGUAACGCGUAUGCAACCUGCCUGACACAGGGGGAUAAUCCGAAGAAAUUUGGUCUAAUACCCCAUAAUACCGAUAUAGGCAUCUAUGUUGGUUGAAAGCUUUGGUGGUGUCAGAUGGGCAUGCGUUGUAUUAGCUAGUUGGUGAGGUAACGGCUCACCAAGGCGACGAUACAUAGGGGGACUGAGAGGUUAACCCCCACACUGGUACUGAGACACGGACCAGACUCCUACGGGAGGCAGCAUG
This 252-nucleotide ribosomal RNA is filed under the name uncultured bacterium. Its description in RNAcentral is "partial 16S ribosomal RNA". It matches the Rfam family "Bacterial small subunit ribosomal RNA", at positions 100 to 353 of the family's 1533-position model. The record is from RNAcentral.